Molecule: long non-coding RNA, 564 nt
Organism: Corythoichthys intestinalis (scribbled pipefish)
Lineage: Eukaryota; Metazoa; Chordata; Actinopteri; Syngnathiformes; Syngnathidae
Exons: 3
Source: RefSeq, a predicted model, not a curated record
UUUAAAUGGACGCGUGCUUCGGAAAAGUUGCCUGCACGGCAGUGCAGAGUCAUUAAAGACGGCGAUCUCGGCAGCAACGCCGGUCGCGUAAAUUUUAAGUGAGAGCUGCGGAUGCAGAGGACUCAUCGUGUGUGUGAUUACAAGUUUAACCAAUGAUCUCCGUGUCCGCAACGGCAGUCCGUUGUCAAACUAUCACAAAGCACGACGAACAGGAAUAUUCUGCUCAAGCUGUUUUCUCGAGUGUAUGUGCUGCUUUUUCCUCCUGCUUCUCCAUUACACACCUCCAAGCCAGAUCAGCAGUUUAUAAAGUCGUUUGUGGGUUUUAUAUUUUUUUUUUAUAAUGGGUACGACAGCGGGAAUUACGGUAUUGGUAAAACAAUAGUCGCCCCUACCGUCCGUGUCCAAUAGAGCCUACAAAAAAAGGGGGGGGGUUCCGUGGCAGAUCAUUUCUUUCACAUCAUUGUUUUGAGUUUGCUGUGCAGUGAAUCGUUUAUUGGAGUGCAGUGAAUUACUUUAUUGAAGUGAGGUGUUUUAAUUGAUGUAAAGUGAUCUUUGCCCACAUUG